UAAUAAGUGUUUUAUGGCACUUUUUAAAUCCAUAUCCACCUUGUGUGCAAUGUCAGGGCUGGUCUCUCUCUUUUGAUAGAUCAGCCCCAAACAUCAACCUAUAUUUCAACUCUUUGUCUGAAAAAUAUUAUGAAUAAAACAAUUCAAAAUA
Molecule: unclassified non-coding RNA, 151 nt
Filed under: uncultured Mortierella
Lineage: Eukaryota; Fungi; Mortierellomycota; Mortierellomycetes; Mortierellales; Mortierellaceae
Description: sequence contains ITS1
Source: RNAcentral